AGACCGAUAGCGAACAAGUAGAGUGAUCGAAAGAUGAAAAGCACUUUGAAAAGAGAGUUAAACAGCACGUGAAAUUGUUGAAAGGGAAGCGUUGUCCACCAGACUCGCCCGGGGGGGUUCAGCCGGCACGUGUGCCGGUGUACUCCUCUCCGGGCGGGCCAGCAUCGGUUUGGGCGGCUGGUGAAAGGCCCCGGGAAUGUAACACCCUUCGGGGUGCCUUAUAGCCCGGGGUGCCAUACAGCCAGCCUGGACCGAGGCCCGCGCUUCGGCGAGGAUGCUGGCGUAAUGGUGGUCAACGGCCCGUCUUGAAACACGGACCAAG
Molecule: ribosomal RNA, 322 nt
Filed under: Talaromyces flavus
Lineage: Eukaryota; Fungi; Ascomycota; Eurotiomycetes; Eurotiales; Trichocomaceae
Also listed under: 1 other name
Description: LSU rRNA
Rfam family: Eukaryotic large subunit ribosomal RNA
Source: RNAcentral